RNAcentral lists this transfer RNA (73 nucleotides) under Actinomycetes bacterium. Its description in RNAcentral is "Actinobacteria bacterium tRNA-Gly". It matches the Rfam family "tRNA". From Rfam's summary of the family: Transfer RNA (tRNA) molecules are approximately 80 nucleotides in length. Their secondary structure includes four short double-helical elements and three loops (D, anti-codon, and T loops). Further hydrogen bonds mediate the characteristic L-shaped molecular structure. tRNAs have two regions of fundamental functional importance: the anti-codon, which is responsible for specific mRNA codon recognition, and the 3' end, to which the tRNAs corresponding amino acid is attached (by aminoacyl-tRNA synthetases). tRNAs cope with the degeneracy of the genetic code in two manners: having more than one tRNA (with a specific anti-codon) for a particular amino acid; and 'wobble' base-pairing, i.e. permitting non-standard base-pairing at the 3rd anti-codon position. RNAcentral also lists the same sequence under 5 other names. The record is from RNAcentral. Lineage: Bacteria; Bacillati; Actinomycetota; Actinomycetes.
GCGGACGUAGCUCAGUUGGUAGAGCAUCAGCUUCCCAAGCUGAGGGUCGCGGGUUCGAUCCCCGUCGUCCGCU